Molecule: long non-coding RNA, 4506 nt
Filed under: Sus scrofa (pig)
Lineage: Eukaryota; Metazoa; Chordata; Mammalia; Artiodactyla; Suidae
Description: lncRNA (ENSSSCG00025024190.1, ENSSSCG00050063079.1, ENSSSCG00055021536.1, ENSSSCG00065020285.1)
Source: RNAcentral
AUGUCAUGGUCACAAUAGGAAUGGGUCACAUGGCUUUAUGAUCCCAAAGUGAUGAGUUCAUUGAUUGUGGCCAUCAAGUCACAUGUCAGCAAAUUAUUAGCUUUAUUGAGAGGUCUCAGUGUAGGGAGCACCAGCUUGCCAGAGUAAGGAGAGGGCCAAAUGGAUGGCAUUCAAAUAUAAUUCAAGGAUGAAGACUUUGACCUGCUACCAUGAUUCUUAGUCACUUUUGUGUCUUUAUCCCCUUUGAAAAUUGCAUUAAUUUAAUCUCCUCUGGGCAUAAGCACAUAUAUAACUUUUUGCAAACAACUUUAAAGAAUUUGUGUACACCCUCUAAGCUUAUCCAUGGAUCUGAGGUUAAAAAUUCUGAGCAAGAUGAAUUAGUAAUGAUUUAUACACAAUCUAUGAACUAACAUCAAAAUAGAUUUGUAAAAUGUAAUAACAAAAAGGAGAAAUAGACUUACUGUGGGGAGGUCUGUCUCUUAUCAACUUAAUUAAAAUAUUCAACUUAGCAUCACAAAAAGUGGGCCAACCUAGCAUUAUGUUCCUCCUGAUAGUGAUGCAAUAAAAAGUUGAAUUCAUAAUUGGUGAAGUAUCCCAACAAAAAAAUAUUUACUUUUCAUCUAAACAAGUCUUUAAAUCUAACUUCUAGUUGACAGAAAAUUCGGGAAAUAAAGAAACAAGCUAAAGAUAAAUAAAAUGAUAAAAUUUCAAAGACACAAUUAGACAAAUUGAAAAUGUGAAACAUUUUAAAAGACAACUUGUUUGGUUCCUUGAGAAAGUCAAGAUCUUUAAAAACCAAACAAAUAAACAAAAUAUCCAUGAGGAAUGCUCCAAAUUAAAAGAAACUAUAGGAACAUAAUAACCAAAUGCAAAAUGUGAACUUUGAUUGGAGCCUGGUUCAAAUAAACAAGCUUUAUAAAAACAAGCCAACAAAUAUUUGGAUAGCAAUUGAGAAAAAUGUAGUGUGAGCUAGAUAUUAGAUAAAAUUAGGGGGUUAUUGCCAUUUGCAUUAUAUAUGAUAAUGAUAUCUAAUAUGUAUUUAUAUAUAUUUGAUAUAUAUUAAGACAUGGACAUAUAUACCUGUAAAAAGUAUAUAUGGCAAAAUCUUGAUGUACUAUAUCAUCCUUUCAACUUUUCUAUGUUUGAAAUUCUUCAAAAUAAAAAUAGAAAAAAAUGAAUUUAAUUUUUUUAAAGUAGUAGCCCAAGGAAUUAUGGUCCUUAGUCAUGUAGCUUAAUAACUUAAAAUAUUUUGCUGGAAUUGCUGGUUCUGAGGAUCAUGGCUUUUUGGAGCCAAGACUGAACAUGUUUCAAAAGGCCAUUCUAUACUAAGAUCCCAGUGAAGCUCUCUCUUUAUUUCUUCCAUUCAUACUAGAAGUAAAUGUGAUUAAGAAUCUGUGCUUUUAACACUAAAAAUGUGGCAUUGCUUUGGGGAGCUUUGUAUCUCGGAGGCAUAAAUAAUGCUUUCUGGCAAAUGCUAAAGUUGAGUACUUUUUAAAAGAAAACAUACCAGAACUACCACUGGCCACCACUUCCACCACCACCAUGCUCCUCUGACGUAAUAAAAGGAGAUAUAUAGAAGUGAAGGAAAUGUUAUCACCUGAGAUCAUAGUUUCCAACUGGAAUUCAUUGAGAAAUAAUGAAGUUGGACUUAGAGAGUCACAAUAUGCCGGCAUCCCCAAGUCUAAUUAAGUCAGCCCGUAUUAUCUCAUGUCCCGUCCGGGGCAGUACUAUGUAAUGCUGCAGAUUACUGGGGAUUGCCAAGGACUUACUGCACAGUAUUAAAUUGUAUAGAUAAUGGCUUUUGGCAUUUUUGUUAGAAGGGACUGUUUUCAAUAUGCAACAUGAACUUACUAUAACUAGCCCCAAGGCAUCAUGAGCUGCAAGUUGCCACAUGAAAAUUAAGGGGGUCAAAUUCAAAAGGGAUGUAUGUUAGAAGGCUCUGGAAGAGGGCAUUGGCUUAAUAAGCACCCCUCAGAUGAACCUGUGAUUGCCACAGAACCUGCCAUCUGUCUUCUGCUGUUGGUUAGACUCCCAAAUACCUUUUAUAGCCCCCCAGUUGUGAAGAGGGUCCCCUGGGCUCAAUUGGAAGAGAAAUAUAUUAAGUUGGCUCCUCUUAACUGAAGGGGAAGGGAGAGAAGUGUUUAAAAGACUGCCUAUCUCUUGGGCUCUAUUUACUCUGUUUAAAAAUAUUGUACCUAGUAUUUCAGAAAUGGGAACUCUUUGAACCCCAGUAAAAUUCUUCUGGGGGUCAUCUGGUAUCCUUUUGGAGCAGGGGACUUGAUGCUAUUGUUUUAUUGGCAGCAUUUAUCAUUCAGUUCCACUUCCUAUUUUACUUUUUCCUUUAACAGGGGAUGAUAAAGUAGCAUCAUAAAAACAGACCUGCAGGUUUGAAUUAGUCUCCAUUCAGCUAACCCACCGUUUCUCAAUCAGAGUCUGCUACAGCCAGGCACAGGUUCUCUUUGCUAGGAUUUGUUCCCAGGGGAGGGAAGAAAGAGGCUUUCACAAGUGGGAUGAGGACGAUGAUUAGAAUACAAAGUGAACUCCUGGGAGGCUAGAAUUAAAGUGAGGGCAUAGAGGAGAUCAGGUACUUUCAUGUAGGAAAAGAGAGACCAAAUGUCCAAAGUGCAAAAGACCAGAGCAGAGUGAAAAUGGAGAAAUAUGGCCCACAAGUCAUUGAGAGAACAGAUUCUUUUUUUUCCUUAAUCAAAAGGCAUAAGCAAAAGCAAAAUUCAAAUAAAAGUUGGGGGAGCUGAUCUCAAUUCAGUAGCAGUAACCAUGGGGCACAAGGCACUGAAUUUGACUCAGGUACAAUCUCUGGCCGGGUAGGUCAGCUCAAAAUACUUGAGUUGUGUGUAUUGUGUGAGGCUAACUUUUAUUAAAGUCCUUACUUAAGUAUACAGGUAUUGAGUGGUGCUUUCUGAUCAUGUGACCAUUUGUUCUUCAAAAUCACCCCAUAAAGCAAGUAUUCUCAUUUUCCAAGUGAAAACACAAGAUGUACAGUAAACACUUUGCUCAGUUACAGAAUGAGCACAGCCAAGGGCAAUAGUAAUAGCUGCCAUUUCUGCCAAGCAAUGUGUAUACUUAACUCAGCUAAUUCUCACAAUAACUGUAUGAAAUAAGCACUGUUAUUAUCACCAUUUUACAGGUGAGGAAACUAAGGCUUAGAAGAGUUAGGUCAGUUUCACAAUAUCCUGCAGCUAGUAAACGUAAGAGACAGAAAUCAUACCCAGGAAGUUUGACUGCAGUGCCUAGCCUCUGAGCUGCUGUGCUAUUCUGCCUCUUCAUGUAGUUUUCACUACAUACAGUUGACAUUUAUUCCUGCUUAACGUCUCUCCGUAUCUUCUCCAUUGGUUGAGAAAAUGACUUGGUAAAAAGCACUUGGUAGGUCCAAAUUAGUUAGGUUUUAAACAAAUAUUUUAUAAAACAAUUACUACUAUAUAAGUUGGAAUAGUAGUUAAUGUUACUGAGUAGAUACCUUUAUCGACUAUUAAUACUCCCUGCUCUUGCUUAGAAUUGAACUGAAUGCCACAGAUGAGAAGAGGAAUCUCAGAGCUAGAACUCAGGAAACUGGCUUAAUUCUGAGUUCUGCUGUGUUCUCUUUGGGGAUAACAGUCAGGGAAUUGGGGUACACACUCACUCUUUUCAAACAUGGACGUCUUAGCUUGUGUCCAAAUUGGCUGAAAGCAGAGGCUGAGAAACCUGGAUGAUCAAACAGAGCCUGGGUGUGACAAUCAUCAUGGGUCACAGGUGACUGAAAGCAAGCUGCAAAAAUAGGUCUAGAGACCCAGAGCAAGGUCGAUAAGAGCCAGAGAGUAACACAAAUCUGGAAGCUGUGAAAUGAGAAAAAAAAAUCCAGACCAAAGCAUCCUAACUGAUGAAAUUUUCCCAGGGAAAUUGAGGUGAUCCUAAAAUAUUCCAGAACACUGAGAAUCAGAAUUAUUAUCAGACUUCUCAUCAACAGCAUUAGAAACCAGGAGACAGAGGAACAGCACUUUCAAAACUCUAAGUGAAGAUGAUUUUUAUGGAAGCCCUUAGUGGGUGUGCACCACAAAACAAGGCAUGUGAUCCAGUGAGCAGAUGCAGAAGAAAGGCAAAGACGACUUUUAAGAUUAAGGCAGAAAAAAGUCCCAGGAUGACAGCCUAUAGCAAGCCUAGAGGGCCUAUCCCAGAUGAGAGCAAAAGUGCACAGGGUUCCAGAGGGAAGUUGACAAAAAUCGAAGGAUUUUCUGAUAGUUUGGGGCCAUGGAGGAAAUUAUAUUGAAAGGUAUUUUAAGGUGUUUGGGAUAAAUUAGCUAUAGGUUAAAAAAAAGUAACAAAAAUAAUGGUUAAUUAUUUCAGUGUAUUGAAAAAUUAUAGAAGGAAAAAAGUAAUCAAGUUACUACAUAGUUUCACAGGGAAUACUAAUUUUUGUAGUCAUAAUAAUGAAACAUGGACUAUGGACAUAAUACAAAAUUAUUUUAAUCCAUCCAAGUUACUUUGAAUUGAAAGAUGCAGCAUCAUUUUCUU